Molecule: ribosomal RNA, 441 nt
Filed under: uncultured bacterium
Lineage: Bacteria
Description: bacterial LSU rRNA
Rfam family: Bacterial large subunit ribosomal RNA
Source: RNAcentral
UUUUGUAUAAUGGGUCAGCGACUUACGUUCAGUUGCGAGCUUAACCGAAUAGGGGGAGGCGUAGCGAAAGCGAGUCUGAACAGGGCGUUCAGUAGCUGGGCGUAGACCCGAAACCGGAUGAUCUAUCCAUGGCCAGGUUGAAGGUGCGGUAACACGCACUGGAGGACCGAACCCACUAGUGUUGCAAAACUAGGGGAUGAGCUGUGGAUAGGGGUGAAAGGCUAAACAAAUCCGGAGAUAGCUGGUUCUCCUCGAAAACUAUUUAGGUAGUGCCUCGUGUAUCACUCUCGGGGGUAGAGCACUGUAAUGGUUGGGGGGGUCGAUCUAGACCUACCCCGCCAUAGCAAACUCCGAAUACCGAGAAGUGCGAGCACGGGAGACAGACGGUGGGUGCUAACGUCCAUCGUCAAGAGGGAAACAACCCAGACCCACAGCUAAGGU